RNAcentral lists this long non-coding RNA (635 nucleotides) under Arabidopsis lyrata. RNAcentral's name for it is "long non-coding RNA (ALYR_LNC000708)". The record is from RNAcentral. Lineage: Eukaryota; Viridiplantae; Streptophyta; Magnoliopsida; Brassicales; Brassicaceae.
AAUUUACGUUUCGCAAUUACCGGAGAUUUUUCUCUUCUACCGAAUUUUCGCAUUUAUUUCCGCCGAAUUUUCCGGCGAAGCCUUGCCGUCUUUUGGCGGACAUCGGAGGAUUUUGAUCUUCAUUUGUUACUUCAAUUGUCGAUCGCUUACGCUUUUCUAUUUUUAGCGGUUUUUUUAAUUGAACCACCGAUCUGAUGAAGGCAUUAAUUACCUUCCAUUGAUGAAGAAUCAACAAUGGAAAAUUUUAAAAAUUUUAAAAAUUUGAGAUCUUCGUUGUAUGUAGCCUGAAAUUUCAUUGAAAAUUGAAUUUGAAUAAAAUUGAGUGUUUGAUCUAUGUGAUGAGUUAAUCUAAUCGAUCACAUCAUAAACAGUAUUAAUGGAUAAGAGAUUUGUCAUUUGGCUUCUGAAAUUUGUGUAAAGUCUUUAUAUUUGUUUGUGUUAGGUCAGUGUCAUCAUUAUGGUGACAUUAUAAUGAUGCUUUCAUUAAUGAAGAUGGUUGAUUUUUUUUUUUUGUAAAUUGUGAAUAGGUUGAAGAAGAAGAUAAAGGAUCGAUACAUGGCUGAUUGAUAAGAGUUCUCUCCGGAGGUUCGGAGUUUUCUUUAGGAAGGAAACAGAAAAAAAGAUGGCAGUCUCUU